Molecule: non-coding RNA, 268 nt
Organism: Pelobates cultripes (western spadefoot toad)
Lineage: Eukaryota; Metazoa; Chordata; Amphibia; Anura; Pelobatidae
Source: the annotation of a GenBank genome assembly
CUUAAAGCCAUACAGACAAAACAGAAAAUAGCAUACCUCAAUACAGAAAAGGGACACAAAGUGACGGCACCCAAAGACAUAAGCAACGUCUUCGCCAAAUACUAUAACUCACUGUACAACUUAGCAAACGACCCACACACGCACCAACCACAACCACAAGCCAUUAAAACAUACCUAAACGCGAUACAACUACCCGCAUUCACGCCCCAACAACAACAAGAACUUGCAGCAGACAUAACGCACGAGGAAGUCACCGCGGCCAUCCGAG